CAUACACACACGAACACACGCACACAUGCGCACACACACACACGCACACACAACACAGGAGCUAAAAGGGCUAGACAACUUGGAAAGGGGAAAAGAAGAAAAGUUACUUCUUUACUUCUAGAGAAACUAAUGUCUGAGCAAGUUAGGCAAGUGACACUGACAAUUACGUCACUAAGUUGGCUUAGUAAACCACAACUGAUAGGCCACCUGCCGUGCACGUAAUUAAGUAACUGCUGCAUCAGACAACCACCUCCAGCAGACGGGAGUGGCUUUCCAUCAGGGUCCCUCUGAGUCAGUGUGCUUCUAAUAGCACACCCAACCAUUACACAGCAGCCGUCAUUAGUAACAGUCCAAUUGCUCUACGGCUCUAAGGAAGGCAACCUGCCCUUCGCUCUGAGUUCAAGGGCACAGUGUCUGUGUCUCCAGUUAUGGGUGUGUAGAGCCUCAGUGACAAUUAUCUGGACGUUCAAGAGGAGCCAACCGUUUUUAGAAACAGGAGUGAUGGUCAACCUUGACUGUCAGUCUGACGAGACUGACAAUCUCCCUGGAAAUGCAUCACACACACAUGGGCAUCAAUACGGGUCUUUCUAGACUGCUAACUCAGAUGGAGACUCGCCCUGUGUUGGUGGAACCAUUCCAUGGGCUGGGAAAUGGCUCAGCAGCAGAGUGCUUGCUGCACAAACAAGACACCUGUUUGCAGAUCUCCAACCCCACAUAAUAACCAAACAGCAAGAGUGCACACGUGUGCCCCAGCCCGGGGUAGGUGGACACUCGUGUGCCCCAGCCCGGGGUAGGUGGAAACAGGCAGAUCCCUGGAGCCCACUAUCAACCAAAUCGAUGAACCCCCAGGACUAAUGAGAAACCCUAUCUUAAAAACUAAGGUGCAGGGCUAGAGAGACGGAUCCGCCGUUAGGAGCACUGGCCGCCCUUGCAGAGGGACUCUAACAUCUUCUGGUCUCCGAGCACCAGGAGAGGUGUUGCAGGAGUCUUUCUUGAAGAAGCACUCUGACACCAAUGAUAGCAGCAAAGAGAUGUUACGGAUGGAUGGAAGCCAGAACAGGAGAUACCACAGACGGACAGAAGCCAGGACAGCUCUGGAAAGGUCUCGAUCCCAGGUUCAAGUUGUAUUCUCACUUUAUACUCUAAAACCACAAGGUGGGCGGCGAGCCAGCAAGCAGGAUCUUACAGAAGCCCACAUGGCAGUGAGGAGGCUGUUAAGGGCAACGCCCAUUUCUCAGCUGCUUCUCCAGGUCAUCCUGUUCCAGGUGGCAAGUGAGUCAUGCUUGGCAAAUGGGCAGAACAAGCAGGGCUUUGAGUACAUUACUGAAUACAUCAGUAAAUCAGUGUCUAGUAAUUGGUCUUUCUACUUAUUCUACCUCAGAGGCAGGAAAUGGUUCACAGAAUAUAAAGUAAGACUGCUCGGCUCAUGACUUACAAAACAAUAACAAAAGAAAACAAGCUGGGUUUGGUGGCUCCCAUCUGCAACCCCAGUAUUCGGGAGGCAGAGGCAGGACUAGGAGCUAGGCGUGUCCUCAGCUAUAGACCCUGUCCCCAAAUAAAGAAACGGAACCAAAGAUUUGGGAGGCGAGACGACAGGUAUGCAAGUGAGAGGUGUCACUACUACUUUGUUGGUGGUGGUGUUUAUCUUUUAUUUUAAACCCUGACCAACAUUUCCCCUCCUCCUCUCCUCCCAGCCCUCUUUACCUCCCCUCUACCCACAACUACUUUCUUUUAAAGUUCGAUAUUUUCCGUUAUUAAAAAAAAAAGUAAAACAAAACAGAAAGGUAGGCAAGCAAGCCCACGCUUGUUUCUGGGUCUCAGGUUGAGGCUUCAGUUCUUACGAAGGGUAAGCUAUCACUGCUGUCUACACAGCUAAUCUAGUCAGUAACCCUGAGUGACAUCAAAUUCUGAGGCUGACAAACGCUGCAGCUGAAGAGAGGGUACCAAGUCUAACUCAUCCUCAAAGUGAAAUAACCCACGCCUGUGGGGCUGGCUGUAACUCAAAGUGAAAUAACCCACGCCUCUGGGGCUGGGCUGUAGCUUGGCUGGUAUGGGGCUCGCCUCGCCUCGUGCACAUCAACCCCAGCUCUGCAUGAAGCCUACGGGAGCACCAAACCCCUGCAGCCCCACCGUUUCCAGGCAGAGCAGAAGGACAGACAGUAGUGCCCGCAGGCCUGGACUACACGAUACCCCACCUCCAAACACAAAACGAAACCUUACCAGGCUAUGUAACAACAUUACCUACCCCCAGCAGCAGGGCAAUGAAACCGUUCUGGAGGGCUGUUACCAUUUAAGGACAAUGGCAUUAACUUCGAAGAUGAAUGCAAAGGCGUAAUGCCACCCAUCCGCCUAUCUCACUCACCAGUAUGCCUGCAACCACGGAGGCCACGGCGUUCCUUCUCUCACUCCAGUCGACACACUCACACUCUGGCCAUCGGAAGUUAUCCAGGAAGCCUGCCAUCUUUACCCUGUGAGCAUGGAUUUGUCAUUAAAUGAUGCUUCCUGCAAGACAAAAAAUAAUCAAGUUAAAUACUUUCUAAA
Molecule: long non-coding RNA, 2541 nt
Organism: Mesocricetus auratus (golden hamster)
Lineage: Eukaryota; Metazoa; Chordata; Mammalia; Rodentia; Cricetidae
Exons: 2
Source: RefSeq, a predicted model, not a curated record